AAAGAUGAGCAUGCGUCCCAUUAGCUAGUUGGUAAGGUAACGGCUUACCAAGGCAACGAUGGGUAGGGGUCCUGAGAGGGAGAUCCCCCACACUGGUACUGAGACACGGACCAGACUCCUACGGGGAAGGCAGCAGUGAGGAAUAUUGGUCAAUGGGCGCAAGCCUGAACCAGCCAUGCCGCGUGCAGGAUGACGGUCCUAUGGAUUGUAAACUGCUUUUGCACAGGAAGAAACACUCGGUCGUGACCGAGCUUGACGGUACUGUGAGAAUAAGGAUCGGCUAACUCCGUGCCAGCAGCCGCGGUAAUACGGAGGAUCCAAGCGUUAUCCGGAAUCAUUGGGUUUAAAGGGUCCGUAGGCGGCCAGAUAAGUCAGUGGUGAAAGCCCAUCGCUCAACGAUGGAACGGCCAUUGAUACUGUUUGGCUUGAAUUAUUUGGAAGUAACUAGAAUAUGUAGUGUAGCGGUGAAAUGCUUAGAGAUUACAUGGAAUACCAAUUGCGAAGGCAGGUUACUACAAAUUGAUUGACGCUGAUGGACGAAAGCGUGGGUAGCGAACAGGAUUAGAUACCCUGGUAGUCCACGCCGUAAACGAUGGAUACUAGCUGUUGGGAGCAAUCUCAGUGGCUAAGCGAAAGUGAUAAGUAUCCCACCUGGGGAGUACGUUCGCAAGAAUGAAACUCAAAGGAAUUGACGGGGGCCCGCACAAGCGGUGGAGCAUGUGGUUUAAUUCGAUGAUACGCGAGGAACCUUACCAAGGCUUAAAUGUAGAUUGACCGGUUUGGAAACAGACUUUUCGCAAGACAAUUUACAACGUGCUGCAUGAUUGUCGUCAGCUCGUGCCGUGAGGUGUCAGUUUAAGUCCUAUAACGAGCGCAACCCCUGUUGUUAGUUGCCAGCGAGUCAUGUCGGGAACUCUAGCAAGACUGCCAGUGUAAACUGUGAGGAAGGUGGGGAUGACGUCAAAUCAUCACGGCCCUUACGCCUUGGGCUACACACGUGCUACAAUGGCCGGUACAGAGAGAGAGC
This 1027-nucleotide ribosomal RNA is filed under the name Flavobacterium psychrophilum. RNAcentral's name for it is "bacterial SSU rRNA". It matches the Rfam family "Bacterial small subunit ribosomal RNA", at positions 221 to 1251 of the family's 1533-position model. The record is from RNAcentral. Lineage: Bacteria; Pseudomonadati; Bacteroidota; Flavobacteriia; Flavobacteriales; Flavobacteriaceae.